Molecule: ribosomal RNA, 501 nt
Filed under: Phoma sp. ID5-3
Lineage: Eukaryota; Fungi; Ascomycota; Dothideomycetes; Pleosporales; Didymellaceae
Description: eukaryotic LSU rRNA
Rfam family: 5.8S ribosomal RNA (bases 146-299)
Source: RNAcentral
CAUUACCUAGAGUUGUAGGCUUUGCCUACCAUCUCUUACCCAUGUCUUUUGAGUACCUUCGUUUCCUCGGCGGGUCCGCCCGCCGAUUGGACAAACUUAAACCCUUUGUAAUUGAAAUCAGCGUCUGAAAAAACAUAAUAGUUACAACUUUCAACAACGGAUCUCUUGGUUCUGGCAUCGAUGAAGAACGCAGCGAAAUGCGAUAAGUAGUGUGAAUUGCAGAAUUCAGUGAAUCAUCGAAUCUUUGAACGCACAUUGCGCCCCUUGGUAUUCCAUGGGGCAUGCCUGUUCGAGCGUCAUUUGUACCUUCAAGCUCUGCUUGGUGUUGGGUGUUUGUCUCGCCUUUGCGUGUAGACUCGCCUUAAAACAAUUGGCAGCCGGCGUAUUGAUUUCGGAGCGCAGUACAUCUCGCGCUUUGCACUCACAACGACGACGUCCAAAAAGUACUUUUUACACUCUUGACCUCGGAUCAGGUAGGGAUACCCGCUGAACUUAAGCAUA